UCUAAAGCACGAAGUUUUCUUUGCUAUGGCCACCCAGAUACGCGUCCCCCGCUGAGAGAGCGAUGAAGCAGUGCACCAAAGAAAUUGUACCCAGACUGUUCGCUCCAUUAAAAUCAAUGGCUCAAAUUGCCUCUAACAAAGCUUCAACACGAUCCAACGGUCCAUGUUAUAUAGAUCCGCCGCUUCAACGCUCAUCAUCCGCCCAUCGCUCCUCCGUCCCGCGCGUGCCCCCUCUCCUGCGCACGGCAGCCCAGCUUCGAACCCCAGGUGUUACUCGAUUUUCAUUUUUAGGUGGUGCUCCUAUUCCCUCCUAGCCUGCCCUCCCCGCCGCCGCCUGGACACGCGCCCUCUCGGGCCUCCGCCCGCGCGCCGCCUGUGGACUCAGGCCGCCGCCGGGACGCGCGCACCCUGCGGCCGCCCGCCGGGCCCCGCCUCUGGGCUCCAGUUGUGCUCCGCCGCCUGAUGGAUCCGGCCUCCGCCCGCGCUCGCCCGCGCAUGCCGCCGCCGCUCACCCGCGCCGGCCGCCGCCACUGCGCACUCGCCCGCAUCGCCUGACACCACGCGCUCCGGCAUGCAUUGCUCUGUCCCUCAGCCCCGAAACCUAGGUCGUCUUCUCCACCUCCGUUUUAGGUCGCUGGAGGCCGUCGGGCUCCGGAUCCGCCCUCUCCCUCACCGGAUCUACGCCUCCCUUGGAUGGAUCUGCAUCGACGCAGUGUUCUUCCGGUUGGUCGUGGUCCCUGUUUUCAUCGCCUUGGAGCUUGGCCCGUACGUCGGGUUAGGGUUGGCUCGGCCUUCGUGGUCCGUGGGGUUGGGGUGCCGCCGAUGUGGCGAUCGCCGGCGAUUGGGAGGCUGUUACCAGCGGCGGGGAGGGGGAUCUUUGGGGAGGAUUCUCCACCGAUGGCCGCAGAUUCGCUCUGCAUCAUCGCGGGGCCAUGGUUUUCGAACAAUCAAGAGGGAUUUAAGGUGUAAUUUUUGUUGCUGUGUGAUCUUGUACAGAUUGAGGGGAUCGUGAAGCAGCUUGCAACCGUUGGGGAGCAUGAGAAGAUUUCAGCGAUCAUCUCGCUACUCAUCAACUAUUUCACCUACUUGCCACAAGCGAACCAUCGGAAGGUUUGCUUAGACAGCUGUGGUUCAUGCUUCUGGUGUUGACAGGGUCUGAUUUGUUGAGUUCUGUGGUGCUUUGAUGUUAGCAGGGAGCUCCUGGCCGAGGAGGUCGACGACGACGGCUCAUCCUCCUGCGUCGACACUUUCCUCAGGUCCGAACCCACCCCUGGCCCUCACCCCUUUCUUACCAUUCCUUGCGACAUCGGGGUUUCGCGGUGAUAUAGUUGUAUAAUUGAUGGUUUUAGUAUUUCUGAAAAUACAUGGCACUCUGAUCAUCCAGAGGAGAUGGAGAUUAGGAUUGGGAAAGUUGGCAACCUUAAGAACAUAGCAAACUGUAAAUAUAGCCUCAAGCGUGGAAUAGUAUUCCUUGAAGAAUUUCAACCGGAGAUAAUUAGUGCUCACUUGACACUCAUUGGGUGUUCGAUUGCUCCAAAUAUUAAAGGUAAUGCUAUGAAACCUUUGCAGGUGUUGUUUUUGUUUCCUGAAGCUUUCCUACCUCUUCGAGUAAUUCAGCCUAGAUUAGUAGAAGCUAUUGACAAGGCUGUUAAUCAUGUUGAUGCGCCAUGCAUGAUAGGUGUGGUGGGUGCCACCUCUCCUUGUUGUGAUGCCUUUUUACAUUUGUAUUUAUAAUUGACAAUGAUCCAAUGCCAUUUUCAUGCUUAUCAAAGUGCAAGUGAUGGACAUCAUACUAUUGCUUCUGUCGGAACAACAGCAGAGGUGUGACUAUUAUUUU
Molecule: RNA transcript, 1837 nt
Organism: Panicum virgatum (switchgrass)
Lineage: Eukaryota; Viridiplantae; Streptophyta; Magnoliopsida; Poales; Poaceae
Exons: 2
Source: RefSeq, a predicted model, not a curated record